This 364-nucleotide unclassified non-coding RNA is filed under the name Hevea brasiliensis (rubber tree). The record is from RNAcentral. Lineage: Eukaryota; Viridiplantae; Streptophyta; Magnoliopsida; Malpighiales; Euphorbiaceae.
UUUUUUUCUUCCCUAUCUCUCUUUAUGUGCCAAAAACCCAAAAAGCAAGCACUCAUUCUUGCGAAGAGCCACUUACGGUAGGACCUCCAAUAACUGAACAAACCAUUUCCCAUUGGCUCUCCCAUCGCUCUUCAUCUUCAAGACUCUCUCUGUCUCUGGUGGAGAUUUGGUUCCACACCACUUUUGCAUGGAUAUUUUUGUUGCCUAGUUUCCGAACCAAGAGUUUUUGUUUUUAUGGUUUUUGGAUUUUAUCUCAUCCAUCCAGGCCAACCUUACAUUAUCAUGUAUGUCUUUUUCUUUUCUUUUCUUCUUUUUAAUUAUUUUGCCUUAUAUAUACUUUCUUUUCUUCCCCUUCAUCCAAAGG